AAUUGGAGGGCAAGUCUGGUGCCAGCAGCCGCGGUAAUUCCAGCUCCAAUAGCGUAUAUUAAAGUUGUUGCAGUUAAAAAGCUCGUAGUUGAAUUUCGGGAUCAAUAUUUCGGUCAUGCCGUUGGUAUGCACUGUUAUCAUUGAUUUCUCACCUUCUAAAGAACCGUAAUGCCAUUAAUUUGGUGUUACGGGGAAUUAGGACUGUUACCUUGAAAAAAUUAGAGUGUUUAAAGCAGGCUCACGCUUGAAUACAUUAGCAUGGAAUAAUGAAAUAGGACAUCCGAUUCUAUUUUGUUGGUUUCUAGGAUCGAUGUAAUGAUUAAUAGGGAUAGUUGGGGGCAUUAGUAUUCAAUUGUCAGAGGUGAAAUUCUUGGAUUUAUUGAAGACUAACUACUGCGAAAGCAUUUGCCAAGGAUGUUUUCAUUAAUCAAGAACGAAAGUUAGGGGAUCGAAGACGGUCAGAUACCGUCGUAGUCUUAACCAUAAACUAUGCCGACUAGGGAUCGGAUGAUGUUAAUUUUUUAAUGACUCAUUCGGCGCCUUACGGGAAACCAAAGUGU
This 560-nucleotide ribosomal RNA is filed under the name uncultured Glomus. Its description in RNAcentral is "SSU rRNA". It matches the Rfam family "Eukaryotic small subunit ribosomal RNA", at positions 546 to 1106 of the family's 1831-position model. The record is from RNAcentral. Lineage: Eukaryota; Fungi; Glomeromycota; Glomeromycetes; Glomerales; Glomeraceae.